Molecule: long non-coding RNA, 1657 nt
Organism: Chenopodium quinoa (quinoa)
Lineage: Eukaryota; Viridiplantae; Streptophyta; Magnoliopsida; Caryophyllales; Amaranthaceae
Exons: 4
Source: RefSeq, a predicted model, not a curated record
UAUGAAUAUGCGCUUCAAGUUCACUCGACCUCACCACCUCAGUUCUCUUUCCUCUCUCUUUCUCUCCUUCUCCUUCUUCUCUUCCUCAAAGACGAAGGCAACCAUCGCCGCAGCCGCAACCACAUCCACAACCACCGUCGCUCACAAAUUAAAUUCUCUCUCUUUCUUCUCCCUCCACAUUCACUGAUGGUCACGGUGGUGAUGGUGGUCGCGAGUAAUAAUGACGGUGCGGUUCAAUUUUUAGGGUUUUGAUUGGUGUUCAUAGGUUUCGAUUUGUAACUGUUGGCGGUGGUGGAGAGCAGCGAUGGUGAGUUUUGAUUUGUAAUUGAUGGCGGUGGUGGAGAGUUGCUGAACUAAAGUCGCUCAAACUCCAGCUUCGUGCCCUGAUCUUUGAGUGCCGGUGUGAUGCUGGUUUUUGUUGGCUGUUGCUGGUUUCUGUUGGGUAAUGCGGGUACUAUGGUGGUGUUGCUGGGCUCUCCUGUUGCCUUGAGUCUGUUUCCGUUGGGAGCUGCUACCACCUGCUUUGUGUUGCUUUUGGGGUGGCUCUUGCUGCUGGGCUGCUACUGCUCUUACUGCUGCCUCUGCCUGUUCUUCUUGCUGUUGCUACUGCUCUAGCUGCUGCCUAUGCCUGCUCUUCUUGCUGCUGGUGCUCUUCUGUCAGUUAGUGCUGUCAACUUUGUUGGGUUUUUUUUCAUAUUUUAUUUUGUUGUUUUGUAUUGGCAUGUUGGUGUAUCUUUGGUUGUUUUGGUUUUGCUUGUUUUUGUUGGUGUUUAGAGUGGUUGUUUUUGUACCGUCCCUCAGGAUGGGGGUGCCCCUCCUAGAGGGUAGCUCCCUUCCUUUGAGGUCGGGGAGCCUUUGUCUGGUUUAAGCUCUAAAAGAACCCUUCCUAGAAGGUGGCUUUUGGAGUUUGGAUCUUAGGCUGGUGGGUGUGCAAAUAAUAAAGUUGUUCGAUUGUUUUUAAUUAAAUAUUGAAUAAUAUCUCACUCUUGUCUAAGUCAUUUGAGAGAGGGAGUGAGAGAUUAAGAGAGAAUAAAAAAACCUACAAGUAUAUGAUUAUGUUUAGCCUCCUUAAAGACGGAUUAUUGUUAUUCUAAUGAUGCUUAUUAUAAGUAUAUAAUAUGGUUAUUGAACAGCAUGCAGAUACACAAAUAAACUUUCGGAACUUCGAGUUUAUUUUUUACUUCUUUUUUUCUGCUUGAAUUAUAUAUGAGAAAAGAGGAAUGAUGGAUGUUUAUCUUCUUUUUUUAUUCUGAAUUCUUGAAAUUGGAUUGUGUUUUUAUAAGGUUUUUGGGUUUUAUUUGAUAUAUGCAGGUUGUAGGGAAUUGACUACGCUGAUAUUUGACUUUGUUUUUUUUACUGGAUGAUGUAGAUGUAAACAAUUGCUUGAGCACAACAACGAUUUCUAUGAUAGGAGUUGGACUCGAUUAAGGAAACUUUGAACACUGAGUUGCAAAGAGCUCCAACAGCAUUCAACAUCAUCAAGUACUAGUAAAAUAGGUGGAUACUGAAGUUGAAGAAGGUGCUUCCCGAAUUGCUUUACUUAAGAAAUUGGAGAAGUGGGAGAAAGAAAUGAUAUUGCGGCCCAAACAAUUGCUGAAAAUAUGGUUUGGGGGACAAAAUGAUUUAGUUUUAAUAUUUUAAUUGUUUUUUUUCUUAA